This 896-nucleotide ribosomal RNA is filed under the name uncultured archaeon. Its description in RNAcentral is "bacterial SSU rRNA". It matches the Rfam family "Archaeal small subunit ribosomal RNA", at positions 17 to 921 of the family's 1478-position model. The record is from RNAcentral.
CCGGACUGACUGCUAUCGGAUUGGUACUAAGCCAUGCGAGUCAUUGUAGCAAUACAAGGCGGACGGCUCAGUAACACGUAGUCAACCUAACCUAUGGACGUGGAUAACCUCGGGAAACUGAGAAUAAACCACGAUAGAUCAUUAUGCCUGGAAUGGCUUAUGGUUCAAACAAUUUAUUGCCGUAGGAUGGGACUGCGGCCUAUCAGCUUGUUGGUGAGGUAAUGGCCCACCAAGGCUAUAACAGGUACGGGCUCUGAGAGGAGAAGCCCGGAGAUGGGUACUGAGACACGGACCCAGGCCCUAUGGGGCGCAGCAGGCGAGAAACCUUAGCAAUGUGCGAAAGCACGACUAGGUUAAUCCGAGUGAUUUCUGUUGAAGAAAUCUUUUGUCAGUCGUAAAACCACAGACGAAUAAGGGGUGGGCAAGUCUGGUGUCAGCCGCCGCGGUAAUACCAGCACCUCGAGUGGUCAGGAGGUUUAUUGGGCCUAAAGCAUCCGUAGCCGGCUUUGCAAGUCUCCGGUUAAAUCCAGCUGCUCAACAGAUGGGCUGCCGGAGAUACUACAAAGCUAGGGAGCGGGAGAGGUAGACGGUAUUCUGUGGGUAGGGGUAAAAUCCACUGAUCCAUAGAGGACCACCAGUGGCGAAGGCGGUCUACCAGAACGCGUUCGACGGUGAGGGAUGAAAGCUGGGGGAGCAAACCGGAUUAGAUACCCGGGUAGUCCCAGCUGUAAACGAUGCAAACUCGGUGAUGCAUUGGCUUAUGGCCAAUGCAGUGCCGCAGGGAAGCCGUUAAGUUUGCCGCCUGGGAAGUACGGACGCAAGUCUGAAACUUAAAGGAAUUGGCGGGGGAGCACCACAAGGGGUGAAGCCUGCGGUUCAAUUGGAUUCAACGCCGG